RNAcentral lists this ribosomal RNA (545 nucleotides) under Escherichia coli. RNAcentral describes it as "partial 23S ribosomal RNA". It matches the Rfam family "Bacterial large subunit ribosomal RNA", at positions 2377 to 2916 of the family's 2925-position model. Lineage: Bacteria; Pseudomonadati; Pseudomonadota; Gammaproteobacteria; Enterobacterales; Enterobacteriaceae. The record is from RNAcentral.
GAGCGUGACGGCGCGAGCAGGUGCGAAAGCAGGUCAUAGUGAUCCGGUGGUUCUGAAUGGAAGGGCCAUCGCUCAACGGAUAAAAGGUACUCCGGGGAUAACAGGCUGAUACCGCCCAAGAGUUCAUAUCGACGGCGGUGUUUGGCACCUCGAUGUCGGCUCAUCACAUCCUGGGGCUGAAGUAGGUCCCAAGGGUAUGGCUGUUCGCCAUUUAAAGUGGUACGCGAGCUGGGUUUAGAACGUCGUGAGACAGUUCGGUCCCUAUCUGCCGUGGGCGCUGGAGAACUGAGGGGGGCUGCUCCUAGUACGAGAGGACCGGAGUGGACGCAUCACUGGUGUUCGGGUUGUCAUGCCAAUGGCACUGCCCGGUAGCUAAAUGCGGAAGAGAUAAGUGCUGAAAGCAUCUAAGCACGAAACUUGCCCCGAGAUGAGUUCUCCCUGACUCCUUGAGAGUCCUGAAGGAACGUUGAAGACGACGACGUUGAUAGGCCGGGUGUGUAAGCGCAGCGAUGCGUUGAGCUAACCGGUACUAAUGAACCGUGAGG